AUCCACACGACUCUCGGCAACGGAUAUCUCGGCUCUCGCAUCGAUGAAGAACGUAGCGAAAUGCGAUACCUGGUGUGAAUUGCAGAAUCCCGCGAACCAUCGAGUCUUUGAACGCAAGUUGCGCCCGAGGCCAUUCGGCCGAGGGCACGCCUGCCUGGGCGUC
This 163-nucleotide ribosomal RNA is filed under the name Deschampsia cespitosa (tufted hair grass). RNAcentral's name for it is "5.8S ribosomal RNA". It matches the Rfam family "5.8S ribosomal RNA". Rfam says of the family: 5.8S ribosomal RNA (5.8S rRNA) is a component of the large subunit of the eukaryotic ribosome. It is transcribed by RNA polymerase I as part of the 45S precursor that also contains 18S and 28S rRNA. Lineage: Eukaryota; Viridiplantae; Streptophyta; Magnoliopsida; Poales; Poaceae. The record is from RNAcentral.